GAUGAACGCUGGCGGCGUGCCUAAUACAUGCAAGUCGAGCGAACAGACGAGGAGCUUGCUCCUCUGACGUUAGCGGCGGACGGGUGAGUAACACGUGGAUAACCUCCCUAUAAGACUGGGAUAACUUCGGGAAACCGGAGCUAAUACCGGAUAACAUGUUGAACCGCAUGGUUCAACAGUGAAAGACGGUCUUGCUGUCACUUAUAGAUGGAUCCGCGCCGCAUUAGCUAGUUGGUAAGGUAACGGCUUACCAAGGCAACGAUGCGUAGCCGACCUGAGCGGGUGGUCGGCCACCCUGGAACUGAGACACGGUCCAGACUCCGACGGGAGGCAGCAGUAGGGAAUCUUACGCAAUGGGGGAAAGCCUGACGGAGCAACGCCGCGUGAGUGAAGAAGGUCUUCGGAUCGGAAAACUCUGUUAGUAGGGAAGAAGAAAUGUGUAAGUAACUAUGCACGUCUUGACGGUACCUAAUCAGAAAGCCCCGGCUAACUACGUG
RNAcentral lists this ribosomal RNA (497 nucleotides) under uncultured bacterium. RNAcentral's name for it is "partial 16S ribosomal RNA". It matches the Rfam family "Bacterial small subunit ribosomal RNA", at positions 28 to 507 of the family's 1533-position model. The record is from RNAcentral.